This 266-nucleotide ribosomal RNA is filed under the name uncultured bacterium. Its description in RNAcentral is "partial 16S ribosomal RNA". It matches the Rfam family "Bacterial small subunit ribosomal RNA", at positions 1174 to 1439 of the family's 1533-position model. The record is from RNAcentral.
GGGGGAUGACGUCAAGUCCUCAUGGCCCUUAUGGGUAGGGCUUCACACGUCAUACAGUGGUACAUACAGAGGGCCGCCAACCCGCGAGGGGGAGCUAAUCCCAGAAAGUGUAUCGUAGUCCGGAUUGUAGUCUGCAACUCGACUACAUGAAGUUGGAAUCGCUAGUAAUCGCGGAUCAGCAUGUCGCGGUGAAUACGUUCCCGGGUCUUGUACACACCGCCCGUCACACCAUGGGAGCGGGUUUUACCAGAAGUAGGUAGCUUAAC